GCAAACUCACUCCAAAGAGGGAGAGUCCAGAAAGACCCAUCAGGUGGAUUCUUUACCAGCUGAGCCACAGGAGAAGCCCACUUCUUCCUUGAAGACACAGACAAACGGCUCAUCCUGACCCAGCCUGGCAGCCUCUAGGACAAGGCCAACUCUGAUGACCAAUGCCAGCGCACACCCUCCCAUGGUGAGGCCUAAAACCUCCAGCCUGGACCACGCACACAAGUUCUGCAGGCCCACAGCCAUGUGGUGCACAAGGGGGGAUGGUGUGGGGGUUCUUGACUCCCUGUCUGUGGCAGCCCCAAACCCCACCUCCAGGGCUUUGGAGGCUUCACACCUUUCCUCCCCUGGCCUAUGAUAUUCUUUCCCAUGAAAGGAUUGAAGCUCCUUCAUCCUUCAUCCAAGGCAGACUUGACCAGCUCAGCUGGAGCCCUCACUGCUCUGGAAGAUGCCCAGAGAUCUGAACCUGAAGCUAGAAGAGGCCAGCCCCCACCUCAAGGAGUGGGGAGGAAGUUCAGAGCCACAGACUCACUGGAUGAUACAGGAGGGGUGCUGGCCCCCAAAGUAAGGCCUCCCACACUGAGCCAUGAGGGCAGCUGGUUGGUGCCCCAUACUCAAGCCUUGUGUAGCCCCUUGUUCAAACCAGGAAGCCCAGUGGCUUCACAGGGCAGUUAGUGAAAGCUUUGUGGGGUGGUGGGACAACGGGUGAAUGAAACCUGGAUGAUCAGACCCUCUGACUGUGGCCCGGGCCUACUGCUUCCUUCACCCUGGAGAGGUGGAGGCCCAAGAGAGCCCCUCUGUUUUUAUGCAGUUUGAGGUGCCUCCUUCCCAGCCCUCUGGUCCCUUUUGUCCCCUUGUGCUGAAGAUGCAGGGAGCAAAGAGCACUCCAAGUGGGCCUGAGAUGGGAGAGCCACACAGGCAUGGCUGUCCACACACUCUCCCCACCUGGAAUCUUCAUCACUCACCUCCUGCCCAGCGCCCACCUUCUCUCUCACCAUUCCCUCCCAUCCCCUCCUGAGUUCCAGCCAGAACCGCCCAGUGACCACAUCUGAACAUGCCAGGCUCCUGCAGACCUCACAGAUGUGGCCUAGCCACCCCAGGCCCAGGUGAGACACCUGGUCUACAGAGCUCCCUCUGUGAGGGCGGGACCACAUCUUGCUCUUUGAACCCCCUCAGUGCCGGCCACAAAGUUCUGGGUUCAGAGUACAUGUUCACAAAAUACGGAACAACUUUAUUAGCACCAGCUGUGUAACCCGCAGUCUGCACCGUCCAAGGCACAAUGCUGUUAGUCUUUGGCAACUUAACAAGCCAGGAGGAGAAACUCAGAGACCAACCCCACCGGACAAGAGAGGAGCUCACUGAAUUGGACACACAAAUAAACAAGAUUUAAGAAAAUAGAAGAGUAACAAAAUGCAACUAGAGUUUCUACUACCUCCAGAGUGAGGCAUGCCCACCGAUUUAUUUGUCUGAAUGCAGGAUAAAAAUGUUCUGUUUAUAUAUAUUUUUAGCUUUUAACUAUGCUAUGCUUAUAUUUCUGAAAGUUCUAAUGAGCAUGAUAUAUUUGGGUAGCAAUUCAUGCCACAUAAUUUAAAAUAUGUAUUUAUUGGAGGGCGUGCUGAAAGACAUUUUACUAAUCAGAAUAUUGGAUUAAAAUGGGCUUAAACUGUGUUGGGUGAGAGCCUGCUGGUGGAGGGAGGAUCAGGAGGGCUUUCUAGGGGUCUGGACCCCCUAUCCCCUGCCCUCCAUAAAGGACACAACCCCCCAGAGCUCUCAUUCCUUCCCAGAAGAUGGGGCCUGCCUGUCUGCUCCGACUAGCCACCUGCUGCUCCAGCUCCUGUGAUCCAGAGCCAUGACCCCCCGGGCCUAGGCAGUGAGCAUGGACCUGGCUCUCAGAGUGUCCUGCCCCCUUUGCUGAGGGCUUCACCCCUGACUCUAGGAAGAUGUGCUCCAUUACUGGAAGGGGCCUCAGCCCCGCCCACCUGGGAGAGUAGUUCCAGUGUGGGGAAUGCAGAUGGAAUGGUUUUCUGUUCUGCUUUCCUAACAAAAACCCCUUGGAAUUUAUGUCCCUGCACAUACCGUUCCACGUUUCUGCUCACAUUCUUCCUCCUGCUGCCUAGAAACCUUUAAAUUUGCAAACAGCCCUGCCACGGCAUUUGGGAGGUCAGA
Dama dama (fallow deer) is the source of this 2163-nucleotide long non-coding RNA. RefSeq lists it as uncharacterized. NCBI's taxonomy places the organism in Eukaryota, Metazoa, Chordata, Mammalia, Artiodactyla, Cervidae. The record is from RefSeq and is a predicted model, not a curated record. The transcript is spliced from 3 exons.